GAUGAACGCUGGCGGCGUGCCUAAUACAUGCAAGUCGAGCGAAUGGAUUAAGAGCUUGCUCUUAUGAAGUUAGCGGCGGACGGGUGAGUAACACGUGGGUAACCUGCCCAUAAGACUGGGAUAACUCCGGGAAACCGGGGCUAAUACCGGAUAACAUUUUGAACCGCAUGGUUCGAAAUUGAAAGGCGGCUUCGGCUGUCACUUAUGGAUGGACCCGCGUCGCAUUAGCUAGUUGGUGAGGUAACGGCUCACCAAGGCAACGAUGCGUAGCCGACCUUAGAGGGUAAUCGGCCACACUGUGACUGAGACACGGCCCAGACUCCUACGGGAGGCAGCAGUGUGUAAUCUUCCGCAAUGGACGAGAGUCUGACGGAGCAACGCCGCGUGAGUGAUGAAGGCUUUCGGGUCAUAAAACUCUGUUGUUAGGGAAGAACAAGUGCUAGUUGAAUAAGCUGGCACCUUGACGGUACCUGACCAAAAAGCCACGGCUAACUACGUGCCAGCCGCCGCCGUAA
Molecule: ribosomal RNA, 515 nt
Filed under: uncultured bacterium
Lineage: Bacteria
Description: partial 16S ribosomal RNA
Rfam family: Bacterial small subunit ribosomal RNA
Source: RNAcentral